UGACGCGAUUUAUGACAAUGACUAAGUAAUUACUAAUUAACAAUUAAAUCAAGGAACUUCAACUUGGCAGCGAACACAAGUGGGUGGACAAAGCAUUACCUAAGGCGGGUGUAACGUAAGCUUACUUUACAGCGUCUUAUUAUAACUACUAACUCGUAGUUCAAGGGGGUAAUAGUCGGUCUAACAAAUAAAAUGAUGGAAGUGACCGGUAACUUGUUGACGCUUUUACAGUGAUGGAUAGUGAUGUGCAAUGCCUCUCUUACUCUUACCCCUGCUCAGAGACUCUAUUUACACGUAUUCCGAGCUGGAACCAGCGAUGGUAUCGAUGAAUACGGAGUAGAUAAAUGUUGACAGGGAAGAUGUUCGGGUCUUAACGAUAAACAAAACGGGUAUGCGAAUCUGGUUACUAAAUUUGUCUUAAAACUGGUAGCAUAAAACUUGGAUCAAAAGCUAAAAUAGAAUCUGUAAGAUUACUGUGAUUAUGAGAUUAAUACUAACCCAGAAGGAUCUGGCUUUUGCUCUUAAGUAAACUAAAUAAUUGUACUAAUAUUAUGAUGUAUAGUUACAACGGCUGUAUCAUCCAAAGCUACCUAAAAUUAUUAACGAUUAAGUAAUUUUUAGCGUGGCGACCACACCCUUACCAGCUGAAUCUUCUAAAUCCCAAAAUAAUGAGAAUUUUCAAGGGCUAUGGUAACAACACUACUAAAGAGCCUCUUGAAAUAACCAACUACCACGAUGAAGAUUAGCUUCAAAAGUGUCCAAAAAUUGGUCAAGGUAAAGUAUACCACAAUCAGAAGAAUGUGACCUGAUAACCCCCACAAGAUAGAUGUUUAAAUUUUGAAUUUCGCGGAAAUAUAUGCAACCCAAAUUACAUGCUGUUAAUGAAAUUGAAUGUUACAAUCCCUUCAUCAAUAAUUAUUUGUGAACUUGGAUCUUUAUUUAAAAAAAAACAAGAUGAUUGCUCGCAAUAGCAUUUUAUGCCAAUAUAACAUCAAAACCGCCAAACUAUUUAUUGAUUAAAUAUCAUACCUCAAAGUCAUAACACAAUUUGAUUAAUUUUUAAAUGGUGCUUAAACGCCAACACGCCUAUA
Molecule: long non-coding RNA, 1091 nt
Organism: Photinus pyralis (common eastern firefly)
Lineage: Eukaryota; Metazoa; Arthropoda; Insecta; Coleoptera; Lampyridae
Exons: 4
Source: RefSeq, a predicted model, not a curated record